CCUACGGGAGGCAGCAGUGGGGAAUCUUAGACAAUGGGGGCAACCCUGAUCUAGCCAUGCCGCGUGAGUGAUGAAGGCCUUAGGGUCGUAAAGCUCUUUCGCCUGUGAUGAUAAUGACAGUAGCAGGUAAAGAAACCCCGGCUAACUCCGUGCCAGCAGCCGCGGUAAUACGGAGGGGGUUAGCGUUGUUCGGAAUUACUGGGCGUAAAGCGCGCGUAGGCGGAUUAGAAAGUUGGGGGUGAAAUCCCGGGGCUCAACCCCGGAACUGCCUCCAAAACUGCUAGUCUAGAGUUCGAGAGAGGUGAGUGGAAUUCCGAGUGUAGAGGUGAAAUUCGUAGAUAUUCGGAGGAACACCAGUGGCGAAGGCGGCUCACUGGCUCGAUACUGACGCUGAGGUGCGAAAGUGUGGGGAACAAACAGGAUUAGAUACCCUGGUAGUCCACACCGUAAACGAUGAAUGCCAGUCGUCGGAUAGUAUACUAUUCGGUGACACACCUAACGGAUUAAGCACUCCGCCUGGGGAGUACGGUCGCAAGAUUAAAACUCAAAGGAAUUGACGG
Molecule: ribosomal RNA, 560 nt
Filed under: uncultured bacterium
Lineage: Bacteria
Description: bacterial SSU rRNA
Rfam family: Bacterial small subunit ribosomal RNA
Source: RNAcentral